This 997-nucleotide ribosomal RNA is filed under the name uncultured bacterium. RNAcentral describes it as "bacterial SSU rRNA". It matches the Rfam family "Bacterial small subunit ribosomal RNA", at positions 505 to 1501 of the family's 1533-position model. The record is from RNAcentral.
GUGCCAGCCGCCGCGGUAACACGGGGGGAGCGAACGUUGUUCGGAAUUACUGGGCGUAAAGGGCGUGCAGGCGGCUCUGUAAGUGGGAUGUGAAAUGCCCUGGCUCAACCAGGGACGUGCACCCCAGACUGCAGAGCUUGAGUACAGGAGAGGAUGGGGGAAUUCCCGGUGUAGCAGUGAAAUGCAUUGAUAUCGGGAGGAACACCAGUGGCGAAGGCGCCCAUCUGGCCUGAUACUGACGCUCAGGCGCGAAAGCUAGGGGAGCAAACAGGAUUAGAUACCCUGGUAGUCCUAGCCGUAAACUUUGGGCACUAGGUGUAGGAGGCAUCGACCCCUCCUGUGCCGCAGCUAACGCAUUAAGUGCCCCGCCUGGGGAGUACGACCGCAAGGUUGAAACUCAAAGGAAUUGACGGGGGCCCGCACAAGCGGUGGAGCAUGUGGUUUAAUUCGAUGCAACGCGAAGAACCUUACCCAGGUUUGACAUGUGCCGGACUGGUGUGGAAACACACCUUCCCUUCGGGGUCGGUACACAGGUGCUGCAUGGCUGUCGUCAGCUCGUGUCGUGAGAUGUUGGGUUAAGUCCCGCAACGAGCGCAACCCUUGUCCUUAGUUGCCAUCAAGUCAAGUUGGGCACUCUAGGGAGACUGCCGCCGAUAAGGCGGAGGAAGGUGGGGAUGACGUCAGGUCCUCAUGGUCCUUACACCUGGGGCUACACACGUGCUACAAUGGCCGGCACAAAGGGUCGCAAUACCGCGAGGUGGAGCCAAUCCCAUAAAACCGGCCUCAGUUCGGAUUGCAGUCUGCAACUCGACUGCAUGAAGGCGGAAUCGCUAGUAAUCGCUGAUCAGCAGGCAGCGGUGAAUAUGUUCCCGGGCCUUGUACACACCGCCCGUCAAGCCACGAAAGUUGGCAGUACCCGACGUCGCUAUCCUAACCGCAAGGGGGGAAGCGCCUAAGGUAAGGCCACUGAUUGGGGCUAAGUCGUAACAAGGUAACC